UGGACAAAAAAAUAAGAAGAGUGUGUGACAAAGGCUGCAGGAGGCCCUUAAAGUCCAAGGAAGAGUCUCUCCCUUUUGCAAACGCCAGCCACAGAGGUUUAUUUUUCUCCCUGAGAGAAGGAAGAGUGAAGGCUGAGACUGAGACAGAAGGACAGAAGGAGAAGACUUAGAAGCCAGUGAGCCCGGAACCACGAGACGCGCUCUGAGGACACGGGGCCUCGGGGAAACCGGGCACGGGCAGGGGUUGGUCUUGGCUUCCCCGCAACAUUGCCGCGAGCUCGGGUGCCGUCUCCACUCGCAGGCUGGCCUGUCCUCUGCAGCCACGAGCUCAGGCACCGUCUCCGUUCAUAGGCCAGCCUGUUCUCUGCAGCCUGAGGUCCCUGUGGUGCCAACAUCCAGAUGCUGAGAUAAUUCUGCCAGGGUGUUGGCUGAUCGGUGAUUGGUGGUUGGCUGUUCCGUGAGUUCUGCAUUGAUCUUGCUGGCUGAGCGUCCAAUGCGGAGGGGCAGGUGCUGUUAGGGUCUCCACUCCCAUCCCUCUCCCCAGGACUCAUCACCCACUGCAACCGUAAGCUGCUAGGGGCUCACAGCCGUGAGUCUUUGGGACGGGUGGUCCCACCUGGCAUGUAGCUCAGGCUCCUAGCCCCAGGACCCUGCCGCUGCUCCCCUCCCGCCCACAUCUUGGCUUAGCCGUCUUCCCUGGCUGCCAGCCCCUUCCCCUGGUCUUAGUUGGCUUGAGCCACUAAACUGAAAUAGCACACCCUGAGGCCUUCAACAGCAGACCUGAUUUCUCACCAUCUGGAGGCUGGAGGUCCAGGAUCCAGGCCCCCAAGGCUGCUUUCUCCCCCACUCCCCCACCCACCUUCCAGGACACGCAGACUCCACCCUCUUGCUGCCCUGUCUCAGGGCUGUCCCUCUGGGCAAGCAGGCCCCUGGCAUCCCCGUGUGUCUUCUCCUCCUGUUCUUAUAAGGACACCAGUCAUACUGGAUCUGGGCCCACCCUAGUGACCUCAUUUACCUUAAUCACCUCUGAAAGACCUUGUCUCAAAAACAGCCACAUUCUGGGGCACUGAGGGUUAGGGCUUUAACAUGGGAAUUUGAGGGAUGCAAUUCACCCCAUAAAACCCAGACCAUUCCCCCAGUAAAUCACUUUCACAAGAGCUCUUCUCUCAGGCUUUGCUUCUGGGGGAUCCCCCUUGAGAUGGAUCCAUCUAGCUUCCUGCUUCUCAAAGAACAGAGGGGAGAGCUCUGGUGCGAAGGGAACGGGUGGCCUCGGGGACCUGCGGAUAAGCUGCUGGCACUGCCAGGGGACAGGCUGAGCUGAAAGCCAGGAGGAGGGCGGCGAGGCCCGGGGCCGGACCUCAUUCUUCUGAGUGUUAUAAAAUCUGGCUUUGCUCAGAAACUGCCCCAUGUGUGCUUUUGUUAAUUGAAGUGCAAAAUUUUCUCCAAGUAAUAACUGGAGUCGUUUAACAAUACAAAUAAUUUGCACCUUAAUUUGGUCGAUGGCACAAUUGCUAAUUCCUAGAGACUCAGAGGAGCAAAGUGAUCACGAAUUCCAAGAGUGGAAACAAAUCCAUUCCGCAAAUUUCACCCUGGCUUCUUCCUCGCCGGCCUGGGAGCUGCCCCGAGGGUCCUGGAACCUUCAGCUGCUUCCGGGCUCAGCCGGUGUCGUGGGGAGCCAGGUCCUGUGGUGGCUCCCAGCCCCAAAGCUGACUCUGCGUGGGACAACAAACGGUUUAAUUAACCUCUCAGCUUUUUCAUCUGUGAAGCGGAGCUUGGGAUGCUUGCCACCGGACCAGGAGGCCACGAAGACGGAUGUUAGAAAACCUCUGUGCCAGUGACGAAAGACAUCGAAGCUAUAAUACCCUGUUAGGCAAAGCAAGAAGAUAACUCAUACAUGCAGGAGACAGUCUCCUUGUGCAGAGGGGCCUUUGGAACCGAUGUAUGGUGGAGCCCUGAGAAACCUGAAGCUGUGUAGAGCCUGCAGCCCCCGCCCCACGUCCCAAAGCGAUGUGGCCUGGGGAGCUCUUGUCCUGCCCUUUUUGGACACCCCCCUUCUUUGAGGGCAUCUUUCUUCUUAAAGGUGUUGGGGCGGGAGUAGGUGGGGGUCUAGCUUUGCUGAUUUCCUUGUAAGUGCAUUUUAUUAUUAUUAUUAUUAUUAUUAUUAUUAUUAUUAUUAUUUUGAGACAGAAGCUCGCUCUGAUGAGCGAGAUUCAAAAUUAUUAUUUUGAGACGGGGUUUCACUAUGUUGGCCAGGCUGGUCUCGAACUCCUGACCUCAGGGAUCCACCCACCUCGGCCUCCCAAAGUGCUGGGAUUACAGGCAUGAGCCACUGCGCCCAGCCAAGUGCAUUGUUUUUAAAAGGGGUAAAUCAUCUAGUGAAACCCCAUCUCUAUUAAAAUACAAAAAUUAGCCAGGCCUGGUGGUGCACACCUGUAGUCCCAGCGACUCCAGAGUCUGAGGCAGGAGAAUCGCUUGAACCUGGGAGGCGGAGGUUGCAGUGAGCUGAGAUCGCGCCACUGCUCUCCAGCCUCGGUGACAGAGCGAGAUUCCGUCUCAAAAUAAUAAUAAUAAUAGUCUGUCUCUGUGUGUUUAAUUACAAGUAACUAACUAGUUACUGUUGCAACUCAUUUAUUUGGGGACAGGCUCCUAUCUAGUGUCCCACCACGAUAUUAUUUGGGCCAGGAAAGACAUACACAACCGAUGAAAGGCUGGGAGCUGAAUCUUAGUGCUAAAGAUUCGCUGUGGGAAAGCACAGAGCCUAGGAGUUUGCUAAGGGCCUGGGCUCCUACAGGCAGGCACCGCUGACUGAUAGCCAGAAGAUUCUAGACUCCCAGGCCACCGGUUUCUUGAAGUGGCAUUAACCCUGGCAGGCUCUUUGAAGUGUGUGCCCAGAGACUGGGUUGGUGGGGGGUCUGUGCAGGAGCCAGGCCACCUGUGCUCAGAGUCAGCAAUGCGCGUUUCUCUGUCCGUAAGUCAGCGGUGCGGGUCUCUGUGUGACUGUGUCAGGGUGCUCUUGGGAAGAGGGGUGAGGGGCUGUGGGCCUCGAGCUGACGGGACGGGCAGGAAGGCUCACCUACCGAGGACAGCAAGUCAGAGCCAACAGGGGAGCCCUCCGGGGAAAGGGCUUUCAAGCCCUGGCACCACCAAGGUUUCAACCAAGAGACGUUGAACCAGGUUCCAGUAGACAACCCGCUGUCAGGGUGCACAGACUGUGGAAACCAGUGAGAAGUCCUCUUCCUGUACAACACGGUGGCCAGUGCAUGGCUGCAGACCUCAGCCAAAAGCCCACAGCCAGGCCAGCAGUUACAGGCGGCAGCCGGUCUCUUGUCUUCCCAAGGCCCCAGCAGCUCUGUCCUUCCACACAGCCCCUGCUGACGGCCAUCGUUGGUAUGGACACAUCAGGCCUCCAGGCUGCUGCAGGGCCUGUCCCUGGUGGCAGCUGUGACAUUAGUCAUCGAGGGGCUCCCCUGGCCUCCCCUGGCUGGCUGGGAGUGAGGUGACAUAAAUAGACUGAGCAGGUAGCUCUGCAGACCACGGGAUCACCAGCGUCCCUUGUGGCCAGUGUGGCUUUAAAGUGUGUCCCAGAGGUGGCUCUUGAGGCAGUCUUGCUGGACUGUUAUUAGGCACAUCUGCUCCAGGGAGUGCCCAUUCAUUAUGGCCAAAUAAGCAGGCAUAGGCGCCGGCCCCAGACGAGGUCUCUGGGGAACUCCAGGGGUGGGAGAGCCACCCUCUCCAGCGGCCUCAGGGCCCCGGUGCUCGGAAGCCUGGCUCCUCUGGCUUGAGCUCAGGUCUACAGCGAGCAGGGAGUCUUCCUACUGCUGCUCCAAGCUGCCUGGGCCAGCUGUGUUCGCCGAGGGGGCUGCCGGCUCACCACUGCCUGCCUUGAGUGCCAGGGUCUUUUGUGAAAUAAUCAUGUUACUCAAGUUCAGUCCUUGAAUAAAUAGCACAUUUUUG
This 3954-nucleotide long non-coding RNA is filed under the name Homo sapiens (human). RNAcentral describes it as "HSALNT0274223". Lineage: Eukaryota; Metazoa; Chordata; Mammalia; Primates; Hominidae. The record is from RNAcentral.